AAGUGUGUAAUAAGUACUGCUAAUACUUAAAACCAGAUAUAACUCUUCUGGCACCCUUA
RNAcentral lists this transfer RNA (59 nucleotides) under Proctoporus pachyurus. RNAcentral's name for it is "tRNA-Ser". The record is from RNAcentral. Lineage: Eukaryota; Metazoa; Chordata; Lepidosauria; Squamata; Gymnophthalmidae.